AACAGGAUUAGAUACCCUGGUAGUCCACGCCGUGAACGAUGUCGACUUGGAGGUUGUGCCCUUGAGGCGUGGCUUCCGGAGCUAACGCGUUAAGUCGACCGCCUGGGGAGUACGGCCGCAAGGUUAAAACUCAAAUGAAUUGACGGGGGCCCGCACAAGCGGUGGAGCAUGUGGUUUAAUUCGAUGCAACGCGAAGAACCUUACCUACUCUUGACAUCCAGAGAACUUAGCAGAGAUGCUUUGGUGCCUUCGGGAACUCUGAGACAGGUGCUGCAUGGCUGUCGUCAGCUCGUGUUGUGAAAUGUUGGGUUAAGUCCCGCAACGAGCGCAACCCUUAUCCUUUGUUGCCAGCACGUAAUGGUGGGAACUCAAAGGAGACUGCCGGUGAUAAACCGGAGGAAGGUGGGGAUGACGUCAAGUCAUCAUGGCCCUUACGAGUAGGGCUACACACGUGCUACAAUGGCAUAUACAAAGAGAAGCGAACUCGCGAGAGCAAGCGGACCUCAUAAAGUAUGUCGUAGUCCGGAUUGGAGUCUGCAACUCGACUCCAUGAAGUCGGAAUCGCUAGUAAUCGUAGAUCAGAAUGCUACGGUGAAUACGUUCCCGGGCCUUGUACACACCGCCCGUCACACCAUGGGAGUGGGUUGCAAAAGAAGUAGGUAGCUUAACCUUCGGGAGGGCGCUUACCACUUUGUGAUUCAUGACUGGGGUGAAGUCGUAACAAGGUAACC
This 731-nucleotide ribosomal RNA is filed under the name uncultured bacterium. Its description in RNAcentral is "bacterial SSU rRNA". It matches the Rfam family "Bacterial small subunit ribosomal RNA", at positions 771 to 1501 of the family's 1533-position model. The record is from RNAcentral.